GACGAACGCUGGCGGCGUGCUUAACACAUGCAAGUCGAACGGAAAGGCCCUGCUUUUGUGGGGUGCUCGAGUGGCGAACGGGUGAGUAACACGUGAGUAACCUGCCCUUGACUUAGGGAUAACUUCAGGAAACUGGGGCUAAUACCGGAUAGGAGCUCUUGCAGCAUGGUGGGGGUUGGAAAGUUUCGGCGGUUAGGGAUGGACUCGCGGCUUAUCAGCUUGUUGGUGGGGUAGUGGCUUACCAAGGCUUCGACGGGUAGCCGGCCUGAGCGGGUGACCGGCCACAUUGGGACUGAGAUACGGCCCAGACUCCUACGGGAGGCAACAGUGGGGAAUAUUACACAAUGGGCGGAAGCCUGAUGCAGCAACGCCGCGUGCGGGAUGACGGCCUUCGGGUUGUAAACCGCUUUCGCCUGUGACGAAGCGUGAGUGACGGUAAUGGGUAAAGAAGCACCGGCUAACUACGUG
This 468-nucleotide ribosomal RNA is filed under the name uncultured bacterium. Its description in RNAcentral is "partial 16S ribosomal RNA". It matches the Rfam family "Bacterial small subunit ribosomal RNA", at positions 28 to 507 of the family's 1533-position model. The record is from RNAcentral.